UAGGUUUUGUCUGUCAGUAGCAUUGCCCUUGCUGGGAUAUUGGUUGAGUAGUGACUGAAAGGGAAGAGUGCCAUCAUCCCCACUUCACGCAGCAUGCCGGCUUUACCUGGGAAGUCACUCAUCAGGUUCAAUGCUACUUAGCUUUUUGAAGAUAGGACAAGGCCCCAGAACAAGACAGUACAACUGCAGGCAUAUCUCUUAUUUGGAAAUUAGAGACACUGAAUUACUCUGAGGACAGACAGAAAACAAGCAUGAAGUUACCUCAGGUCUUCUAGCCUACAGUUUGGAUGCUUUAGUACAGAGCAAAUAUUCUUCAUUGCCUCAUCCUUCAAAUCGUUGUCUGAGAGGCUUAGGGGGAAAUGAAUAGAGAGAAUUACAAGCUUGGACACAGAGACACAUUGUGUUAGCUUCAAAGCUGAAAUCCUGGGCUGGGCUUUCUCUUCAGUCCCUUGGAGGUGUACUGUUUACUAAGACAGCAUGGAGCUAUGGAUAAGGCACGAGACUGACGAGCAGGACUUCUGGGAUCCAUCCCUAGCUCUGUUACAAAUGAAAAAGUGCAAUUCGCACGUGCUCAGCAGGGACUGGUAGAGCUUAACAGCUAAAAUCUCCCAAGCUCCCAUCCUCACUGAGCAUGCUCCAGCCUCUCACUGCUCCUAGUGCUGCCCAGACUGCUCAUGCACCAUCCCCUCAGAGCAAAACGGAGCAUGUUUUCAGCUGCUCCAGGCUGGGGUGGAGCAAAACCCCAGAACUCUGAGCAAGGAACCACCCUUCAAUGUCCCCCUUGUCUCCCCUGCUGGGGCCCAGGCUGCACAGAGGAGGAGGAUGCCUGAUUUGAAUGCAGAAAAGACAAAAGCCAGACCAGGGUGAAGGAAAGAAGUAGACUGGAACAAGAAGUAUGCUCAGGUCUGAGUCGUUCCAGGCCCUCGUUCUGGAUGAAGCAGGAAUCUAGGGUUAGGCGCUGUAUUUCUUCACAGCAACUCAGAACAUAAGAAAGGACCGUGCAAUCCACCGGCAUGAGGUAUAACUCUGAGAAGUCCAGGUGGGUAUCUUUACCCACCACAUCACACACAAGUUGUCUGUUCCGGGAUUCAAACAGCAAAUUCAAUACAUUCAUCAGCCUCCUCUUCCCUUCAGGAUCAUCUCUGCUCUGCAGCUCCUCAUAGUUCAUCUCACUGAGCCACCCAAUAACUUUGUAAUGCACGAGGGCAGCAAAGAACUCCUGGAUGGUGAGGUGAAGGAAGGAGUAGGUCACCUGGGAAGA
Molecule: long non-coding RNA, 1261 nt
Organism: Mauremys reevesii (Reeves's turtle)
Lineage: Eukaryota; Metazoa; Chordata; Testudines; Geoemydidae
Exons: 3
Source: RefSeq, a predicted model, not a curated record